CAAUCACUGCUUCGAGGUAAGGGUUUGGUUCAGGUUUCAACUCCUCCCCCCGGGACAGCUGUGAACAGAGUCUGUUGUCAGACUAAAUUAUUCGGGUUCAAAGUGGCUGUAUGUUGUUCCUCGGAAUUUCAGGAAUUUGGAGGACCCUGGGGUGGUUUGGAUGACCUAUUGGAGUAAUGUUCCCAUUUUCAUCAUCCUAUGGGUUAUGAAAAAUAAAAUGAUGAACGUACAAACACAUAUAUACUACUAGUGUCUAAGUAACUGACAAGAAUGGUCUCUUCGGCUAUUCACUCCUAUAUCAACAGGUUGCUGCUAAGUAAUUUGUGGUGAUCAAGGGACAUCUGCUGGACAUUGUGAAAAGAGCAUCAUUACAACUUGCUUUCCUAGUUCUGCUGAUUCAAGUCUGCCACCUGGUGGAGAAUGUGUGGCUAAUCCAAAG
Molecule: long non-coding RNA, 439 nt
Organism: Dromiciops gliroides (monito del monte)
Lineage: Eukaryota; Metazoa; Chordata; Mammalia; Microbiotheria; Microbiotheriidae
Exons: 4
Source: RefSeq, a predicted model, not a curated record